CAAUAGCGUAUAUUAAAGUUGUUGCGGUUAAAAAGCUCGUAGUUGGAUUUCUGUCGAGGGUGGCCGGUCCGCACUUUGUGCGUGCAUCUGGUUCAGCCUUGGCAUCCUCGUGGGGAACGUAUCUGCGCUUAAUUGCGUGGUGCGGUAUUCACGACUUUUACUUUGAGGAAAUUAGAGUGUUCACGGCAGGCAAUCGCCUUGAAUACAUUAGCAUGGAAUAAUAAUAUAGGACCUUGGUCCCAUUUUGUUGGUUUCUGGAACUAAGGUAAUGAUUAAUAGGGAUAAUUGGGGGCAUUCGUAUUAACACGUCAGAGGUGGAAUUCUUGGAUUGUGUUACGACGAACUACUGCGAAAGCAUUUGCCAAGGAUGUUUUCAUUGAUCAAGAACGAAAGUUCGGGGAUCGAAGACGAUUAGAUACCAU
RNAcentral lists this ribosomal RNA (422 nucleotides) under uncultured eukaryote. Its description in RNAcentral is "SSU rRNA". It matches the Rfam family "Eukaryotic small subunit ribosomal RNA", at positions 592 to 1018 of the family's 1831-position model. The record is from RNAcentral.